This is a long non-coding RNA of Rhineura floridana, 1800 nucleotides long. RefSeq lists it as uncharacterized. Lineage: Eukaryota; Metazoa; Chordata; Lepidosauria; Squamata; Rhineuridae. The transcript has 3 exons. The record is from RefSeq and is a predicted model, not a curated record.
UUAGUGGGGAAGGAGUUUACUGGAAGUUGAGAGAAGAGAGUAUGGAAGUGGAGAGAAAGAGUAUGGAAGUGGGAACUCAGGAACAGCUCAGGGCUGUUAGCCUACUCUGAAAUCUAGAGAUGUGUGCUGUCUGGUGGAGGGAAGGAGAGGUGGCCCAAGGAUCCUUGCUGUCUUGUAGUGUUUCUAUCACCAACUGCCAGAUUGUUUUGGUGCCAAUAUUCAGUCGUAGUGCUGUUAAAAUCCCUCCAAAACCUGGCCAAGGUAAUAAAAUACUUUGGCAAUUACUAUUGACAGUUCUGGAUAAUCUUGAAGGCUGCCUUGCCUGAAGAAGAUGAGUGUUACAAAUCACUCCACUGAAAGAGGGAAGAACAGCAGCAGGCAGCAGACAGGUUUCAAUUUCACAAUGCUGAUUAUCUCAUUCGUGAUUCUAUGCAUGCCUAAAUCUGAGGAUCCCUCAAGCAGCUAUAUGGACUCCUACUUUUAAAAUGCCUAUUAUGCUUUUAUACUUUUUGCUGCUUCCUGAAGAGUGCCAUUUCGCCAAGCUUAAAUAGCAGAAAAUUGCACUGCUUUUCCUCUGCCCAUCUCCUCAAUCUCUAUUAACCUGCACAAGAACAAAGGAAUAUGAUGGUCCAGCUAUAGGUUUGGAAAUAGGUUUGAAGUUGUUUUUCAUUUACUGGUAGCCGUCUUUCUGAUUCAUAAAUGUAGUUUAACAAUAAUGUCAUUUUAAUGCAUUAAGAAAUGAUUGACAAUGCAGAAUUUUUAAUCUUGAUGUGUGGACAUACACAUGAUGUACACAGAUUUAUGCACACUUUUUCAAAAAUGUGAAUUUAUGUGCAUAUAUUAUUUACAUAAGCUUCAGAUGAUGACAGAUCACUCACAUAAUGUGUUAUACCUUAACUAAAGGUAUAAAAUAAAACUACUCCAAUUGGAAUUCUUUUCCUUUAGGUUGCAUGAGAACAAUAAGAUACAUCAUCAACAACAACAAAAGGAAAUCGUUGAAGCAUCUAGUUUUAAUGCAUGCAGUAGGCCUUUAUUAGAUGUCAUAAACUAAAUGAUGCAUUAGUCUGUGGACCACUUAUAACCUAUGAAUUUUGAGGUAAAAAGGAGGACAAAGAGUUCUUUUGAAACAAUAAGGUUAAAUGUUCUUUCGAAUCAAGCCAUAUUUUAUUAAAUGCAGAAUACCUAAUAGACUCAGAGAGAUCUGAGACUAUUUCACUUUAAUGUUUUUAAUGCACUCCUGUAUUACCUUUAAGAAUAAAGAGUAUUUUACUUAAACACAUUAUAUUGAAUAUAAGAACCAUAUACAUACAUCCUAUCAUCCAUUCCAAUUGUAUUAUUAAACAAAGAAGAAACUAUUUUAAAAUUCCUAUGACUGAUAAAGAUCUGACAGCUCAAUGUCCAUUCUAAGCAAUUACAUUAAAAUUCAUAUGGGUUGUCAGACAUACAUGUACACACAAAGGUAAUUUUGUCCAUCUAAAAUUUUUUUUUUAAGAAAAGAAAAAGAAGAUCUGCUUUGCAUUUAAAAAGAUAAAAAAAUGUUUUUGAAAAUGACAAUUGCUGGCUGGCCAUCGAUUUCUAGCUUUAAUCUCAUAGCCUACUCAAAUUUCCCAUUAUGUCUCACUGAGGCUUAGACGGAUAGAAAGGCCAAACUACGGCCUUCAACAAAAAUGGAGGGGGGUUGUGGAGUGUUAUAACAUUAAGACACACAGCUGUUGCUCACAAACCGCAAAUAUUGUCUUAACUUGCAGUAUGUUUUGCCUACUUUGCUGCUAAUAAAGUGUUUUGCAUGCUUUCUAUAAA